CUCAGAGUGGUGUAACGGUAACGCACUCCGUCCGGUGUCUUCGGGCCUUGGGUUGCUGGCGGUCGAUGGGCCGCCGUAAGUCACGGAGAGUUGAAGGCUCGAUUCCUUUCUCUGAGA
This is a non-coding RNA of Fusarium graminearum PH-1, 117 nucleotides long. The record is from the annotation of a RefSeq genome assembly. Lineage: Eukaryota; Fungi; Ascomycota; Sordariomycetes; Hypocreales; Nectriaceae.